AUUGAACGCUGGCGGCAGGCCUAACACAUGCAAGUCGAGCGGUAGCACAGGGAGCUUGCUCCUGGGUGACGAGCGGCGGACGGGUGAGUAAUGUCUGGGAAACUGCCUGAUGGAGGGGGAUAACUACUGGAAACGGUAGCUAAUACCGCAUAACGUCGCAAGACCAAAGAGGGGGACCUUCGGGCCUCUUGCCAUCAGAUGUGCCCAGAUGGGAUUAGCAAGUAGGUGGGGUAAUGGCUCACCUAGGCGACGAUCCCUAGCUGGUCUGAGAGGAUGACCAGCCACACUGGAACUGGGACACGGUCCAGACUCCUACGGGAGGCAGCAGUGGGGAAUAUUGCACAAUGGGCGCAAGCCUGAUGCAGCCAUGCCGCGUGUAUGAAGAAGGCCUUCGGGUUGUAAAGUACUUUCAGCGGGGAGGAAGGUGUCGAGGUUAAUAACCUCAGCAAUUGACGUUACCCGCAGAAGAAGCACCGACUAACUCCGUGCCAGCAGCCGCCGUAA
RNAcentral lists this ribosomal RNA (504 nucleotides) under uncultured bacterium. Its description in RNAcentral is "partial 16S ribosomal RNA". It matches the Rfam family "Bacterial small subunit ribosomal RNA", at positions 30 to 523 of the family's 1533-position model. The record is from RNAcentral.